Molecule: ribosomal RNA, 546 nt
Filed under: Bifidobacterium longum subsp. suillum
Lineage: Bacteria; Bacillati; Actinomycetota; Actinomycetes; Bifidobacteriales; Bifidobacteriaceae
Description: bacterial SSU rRNA
Rfam family: Bacterial small subunit ribosomal RNA
Source: RNAcentral
CUCCUGGAAACGGGUGGUAAUGCCGGAUGCUCCAGUUGAUCGCAUGGUCUUCUGGGAAAGCUUUCGCGGUAUGGGAUGGGGUCGCGUCCUAUCAGCUUGACGGCGGGGUAACGGCCCACCGUGGCUUCGACGGGUAGCCGGCCUGAGAGGGCGACCGGCCACAUUGGGACUGAGAUACGGCCCAGACUCCUACGGGAGGCAGCAGUGGGGAAUAUUGCACAAUGGGCGCAAGCCUGAUGCAGCGACGCCGCGUGAGGGAUGGAGGCCUUCGGGUUGUAAACCUCUUUUAUCGGGGAGCAAGCGAGAGUGAGUUUACCCGUUGAAUAAGCACCGGCUAACUACGUGCCAGCAGCCGCGGUAAUACGUAGGGUGCAAGCGUUAUCCGGAAUUAUUGGGCGUAAAGGGCUCGUAGGCGGUUCGUCGCGUCCGGUGUGAAAGUCCAUCGCUUAACGGUGGAUCCGCGCCGGGUACGGGCGGGCUUGAGUGCGGUAGGGGAGACUGGAAUUCCCGGUGUAACGGUGGAAUGUGUAGAUAUCGGGAAGAACA